CGAAUCUUUAAUGGUUUAUGCUUGCUCCCAAACUGAAUUGGUAUAAAAUCCGGUGCACCGGAUUUAUGGUUCUUAAUCGAAUUGAAAUUGGGUACAGAAAAAUGAAUUGUAGUUUUUCCUAACUAAUUCUGCGGCAUUCAUUUCUCAACUAAACCUUAGGAUCAAACCCUUUUUUUUCCUUUAAUUAUAUUUAUUUAUUUAUUGCAUAAUAAUAACAUAUAAAUUCACCCACUUUUCAUUAUCUUACAGAAUAAAAACAUUUCCUUAUUUAGUUAUAACAUAUAAACCCUGAAAGUUUGAGGGCCCGAUCUGAAAUUGAAUUAUCUACGCAUUCACAGAGAAAAAACCAGUGAUGGCCAGAGAAUUUCCUGCUAUACUUGGCGGUAGCAACAGAGAUUAUAUUUCUGAGAUUUUAUAUUUGUUAGGAAUUAUCUUUCUAUCUCUUUCAGUUUUAUCAAUCAUCCUAUUUUCAUGUGGCGAUGAAAAGAAAAAUCAAAAGCAACGGAAAAAAAGAGACGGACGUGGUAUUAGUGGAAUUGGUGGUGACGGUGGCGGCGGAGGUGGUGGAAGCGGUGGCGGAAGCGGUUACGGUGGAGGCGGCGGUUAGAUCCAUAUGUUAUGCGGUAUGGAGAGAGUUAAUUUUUAGGGCUAUUCUCGAUUAGGUACAUGAAUCUGAACAGAGUUGGAAGCACAGCUUAUGGAGUUCAUAGAAGAGCUACAUCCACUUUCAAUUUCAUUUAGUGUGACCUGAGCACGAAACCGCUGCCAUGAUCAUCUUGAUUAUCCUUAUCUUGAUUUGCCCUCUUCUCUGUGGGAUCAUUUGUUGCUUGUUUUCUCUGUACUCUGCUAACAUUGGAGAGCAAAUUGGGAUGUCGAAUUCCAUAUUUAGAAUAGUAUAACUGAUGAUUUUGUUAAUAUAGUAAUUGUACUGAAAGGGGAAGGGGGUUGAAUUGAAAGGGAAAAGGAAGGUUUAGAAUUGCAGUGAAGUUGGGAUGCGAGUGAGGUUGCUAUAAAGAGAGUGUGGGUGGGAACUAGAGAACUGUAGCAGGCGUGUUCACCAAGAUUCGUAUUUCUUUUUCUCUUUUUCUUUUU
Lathyrus oleraceus (garden pea) is the source of this 1092-nucleotide long non-coding RNA. RefSeq lists it as uncharacterized. The transcript has 2 exons. The record is from RefSeq and is a predicted model, not a curated record. NCBI's taxonomy places the organism in Eukaryota, Viridiplantae, Streptophyta, Magnoliopsida, Fabales, Fabaceae.